RNAcentral lists this ribosomal RNA (318 nucleotides) under Vibrio sp. NBF31. RNAcentral's name for it is "bacterial SSU rRNA". It matches the Rfam family "Bacterial small subunit ribosomal RNA", at positions 29 to 331 of the family's 1533-position model. The record is from RNAcentral. Lineage: Bacteria; Pseudomonadati; Pseudomonadota; Gammaproteobacteria; Vibrionales; Vibrionaceae.
AUGAACGCUGGCGGCAGGCCUAACACAUGCAAGUCGAGCGGAAACGAGAUUAUCUGAACCUUCGGGGAGACGGUAACGGCGUCGNGCGGCGGACGGGUGAGUAAUGCCUAGGAAAUUGCCCUGAUGUGGGGGAUAACCAUUGGAAACAGUGGCUAAUACCGCAUGAUGCCUACGGGCCAAAGAGGGGGACCUUCGGGCCUCUCGCGUCAGGAUAUGCCUAGGUGGGAUUAGCUAGUUGGUGAGGUAAGGGCUCACCAAGGCGACGAUCCCUAGCUGGUCUGAGAAGAUGAUCAGCCACACUGGAACUGAGACACGGGC